RNAcentral lists this ribosomal RNA (428 nucleotides) under uncultured Streptococcus sp. RNAcentral describes it as "bacterial SSU rRNA". It matches the Rfam family "Bacterial small subunit ribosomal RNA", at positions 954 to 1382 of the family's 1533-position model. The record is from RNAcentral. Lineage: Bacteria; Bacillati; Bacillota; Bacilli; Lactobacillales; Streptococcaceae.
AAGCAACGCGAAGAACCUUACCAGGUCUUGACAUCCCGAUGCUAUUUCUAGAGAUAGAAAGUUACUUCGGUACAUCGGUGACAGGUGGUGCAUGGUUGUCGUCAGCUCGUGUCGUGAGAUGUUGGGUUAAGUCCCGCAACGAGCGCAACCCCUAUUGUUAGUUGCCAUCAUUCAGUUGGGCACUCUAGCGAGACUGCCGGUAAUAAACCGGAGGAAGGUGGGGAUGACGUCAAAUCAUCAUGCCCCUUAUGACCUGGGCUACACACGUGCUACAAUGGUUGGUACAACGAGUUGCGAGUCGGUGACGGCGAGCUAAUCUCUUAAAGGCCAAUCUCAGUUCGGAUUGUAGGCUGCAACUCGCCUACAUGAAGUCGGAAUCGCUAGUAAUCGCGGAUCAGCACGCCGCGGUGAAUACGUUCCCGGGCCUU